AUGCAUGUGUCAGUACAAACUAAACUAAAGUGAAACCGCGAAUGGCUCAUUAAAUCAGCUAUGAUUAAUUGGAUCUGUACACCCAGUUUUCCUUGGAUAACUGUGGUAAUUCUAGAGCUAAUACAUGCACAUAUAGUCCCUAACCUAACGGAAAGGGCGCACUUAUUACUAUCAAAAACAGCGGGACAGGCUUCGGUCUGUGAACCAGUUUUAUAUGAUGACUCUAGAUAAAUUUGGGCUGAGCGCACGGUCUUUUGCACUAGCGCCGCUUCUUUCAAGUGUCUGCCUUAUCAGCUAGAUUGUAGGUUAUGUGCUUACAAUGGCUAUAACGGGUAACGGGGAAUCAGGGUUCGAUUCCGGAGAGGGAGCCUGAGAAACGGCUACCACAUCUAAGGAAGGCAGCAGGCACGCAAAUUACCCACUCCCGGCCUGGGGAGGUAGUGACGAAAAAUAACGAUGCGAGACUCAUCCGAGGCCUCGCAAUCGGAAUGAGUACACUUUAAAUCCUUUAACGAGGAUCAAUUGGAGGGCAAGUCUGGUGCCAGCAGCCGCGGUAAUUCCAGCUCCAAUGGCGUAUAUUAAAGCUGUUGCGGUUAAAAAGCUCGUAGUUGGAUUUCAGUAUUGGACUGAUUGAGUUUUUUCACCAUCUGGUGAUUAAACCGAAUCAAGCUUCAAAACCUGCUACCACAAUAUCACAGUGUGUUGCUCCACUAGCUCACACGGGAUGCUCUUAAUCGAGUGUCCCGAGUGGCUGGUAUGUUUACUUUGAAAAAAUUAGAGUGCUCAGAGCAGGCAAAUAAUGGCCUGAACGUCUAUGCAUGGAAUAAUAUAAGAGGACCUCGGUUUUAUGUUUUACCGCGUUUCUUUUGGAAACCCGAGGUAAUGAUUAAGAGAGAUGUGUGGGGGCAUUAGUACUGCGACGCUAGAGGGGGAUGUUUUCAUUAAUCAAGAACGAAAGUUAGAGGUUCGAAGGCGAUCAGAUACCGCCCUAGUUCUAACCAUAAACGAUGCUAACCAGCAAUCCGCCGGUGUUAAUACCAAUGACUCGGCGGGCAGCUUCCGGGAAACCAAAGUCUUUGAGUUCCGGGGGUAGUAUGGUUGCAAAUCUGAAACUUAAAGGAAUUGACGGAAGGGCACCACCAGGAGUGGAGCCUGCGGCUUAAUUUGACUCAACACGGGAAACCUCACCAGGCCCAGACACUGGAAGGAUUGACAGAUUGAGAGCUCUUUCUCGAUUCAGUGGGUGGUGGUGCAUGGCCGUUCUUAGUUGGUGGAGCGAUUUGUCUGGUUAAUUCCGAUAACGAACGAGACUCUGGCCUAUUAACUAGUCGACGGAUUUCCAAACCAUGCAUUGGUGUCCAGUUCGCAGCCAUUUCUUCUUAGAGGGAUAAGCGGUAGUCCUAGCCGCACGAGAAUGAGCAAUAACAGGUCUGUGAUGCCCUUAGAUGUUCUGGGCCGCACGCGCGCUACACUGAAGGGAUCAGAGUGUUUUCCCCCUCCGAGAGGAGCGGGUAACCCGAUGAAACCCCUUCGUGAUAGGGAUUGGGGCUUGUAAUUAUUUCCCAUGAACGAGGAAUUCCCAGUAAGCGCAAAUCAAGAGUUUGCGUUGAUUACGUCCCUGCCCUUUGUACACACCGCCCGUCGCUACUACCGAUUGAAUGAUUUAGUGAGGCCUUCGGACUGUCGCUCUUGGUUAUCUUAGCAUAAUGCUAGUGCCUAGAGCUGACGGAAAGAUGUCCAAACUUGAUCAUUUAAAGGAAGUAAAAGUCGUAACAAGGUUUCC
RNAcentral lists this ribosomal RNA (1783 nucleotides) under Gonionida eclepsis. RNAcentral describes it as "SSU rRNA". It matches the Rfam family "Eukaryotic small subunit ribosomal RNA". The record is from RNAcentral. Lineage: Eukaryota; Metazoa; Arthropoda; Malacostraca; Decapoda; Munididae.